AUCUACUGGGCGUGCAAAGACCAAAAGCAGGGCAAACGAUCCCCCUAGGCAUUUUCUAACGGACCAAAGACACCACUUCAAAGAGAAAACUGCAAAGAGUUAAAAAAUAAAUAAAUAAAUAAAAUCACAUCCUGAGCAUGAUAUCGAUGACAGUUGCUUGCUUAGGCAGACGGAUACGCAAAACAUCAGAACCAGGAUUUGAAGUUCGCCCAAGUGAAUGCUUUAUAAAGCGACUUCUACUGACGUCUUGCCGUUGAGUGCGCAACGAAAUCACCAUGGACUCCGUCAGGCACAGGCACGGCACCAACCAUGCGAGCAAGUCGAGUGAGGUGGACCGGACCUCGGUGGCGGCGAGGCCGCGUACUGUCCUUGGCGAACUGUCAACCAACGAGCAGUUCCAUCACUCACAGAGUCAGGGAAGCCAUAUUUCCAAGUCAAGUAAGCCUACGGACUGGGGGCAGGCUUUCAGGGGGUCCAGCAGAGGGCAUAACACGCAUGCUGAAGAGACUGAGACAGAGUUUCCCCUCGACGCCGACACUGUGGCCUUGAACCUUGACCUGGACAAGGAUGACUGUUCAACGGAUGACGAUUCAGUGGAAUCUGAACCUGACGAAUUGCCACUGGACCAGGAGGUGCUGCGCGCCUCACAAUUCGUCAACGACAUCCACCGCUACUUGAGGCUCAACGAGGCAGCGUCACCCGUGGCGCGGGGCUACCUUCUGCAGCACCCGCAGAUCACCGCGGACGCGCGGCUCAUCCUGGUGGACUGGAUGGUGGAGGUGUGCCAGGUGUACAAUAUGGCCUCAGAGACACUGCAUCUGGCCGUCGGCUACGUGGACCGCUUCCUGUCACGCAUCGCCGGACUGCGGCGUAGCAAGCUGCAGCUAGUCGGCAUUGCAGCACUCUUUGUGGCCACGAAGUAUGAGGAUGUGUGUCCGUGCGAGGCACAGGACUUGGUGUUCAUCACAGCUAACACGUACACAAUUGGACAGCUUCUCCAGAUGGAAAGUCUGAUAUUGGAGAAGUUAUGCUACAGCGUGGGCACUCCCACAGCCUACCACUUCCUGCGCCUCCUUACAUCCGUUCAUGUUGUGUGCACCCUCACCGAGAACCUCGUAUCUGACAGAGUUGAGCCUACUGUACAUGGAUCCUUUCCUGGAGUACAACGCAUCAGUGGUAGCAUCCGCCGCCCUAUGUCUUGCCAACCUCACUAUCAACAGAUCCCUCUGGCCGGACACGUUGCGCGACUUUACUGGCUACACAACGGACGACAUCAUGCCAUGCGUACGCGCGCUGCAUAGGCUGCACGUCUGCUUUGAAACACUACCUGUGCAGGUUAUCGCGAUCAAAUACAACAAAGCCAAGUUCUGCCGCGUGUCUUCCAUUGCACCGCUUGCUGAGCUGCCACACCUCUAGCCCACACAAGUAAACAAACCUGAUUGACAGACAUGUCACACACCCCUCUUCAUUGUUACCGCAUGAGUCUGCUGUUUAGAAAAUAAAAAACAUGAA
RNA transcript from Corythoichthys intestinalis (scribbled pipefish), 1512 nucleotides. It is a transcript of the gene named cyclin A1, with no coding region annotated. The record is from RefSeq and is a predicted model, not a curated record. The transcript has 9 exons. NCBI's taxonomy places the organism in Eukaryota, Metazoa, Chordata, Actinopteri, Syngnathiformes, Syngnathidae.